CCAGGGGGCAGCUUACCAUGCAAGUCGAGCGGAACGAUGGUAGCUUGCUACCAGGCGUCGAGCGGCGGACGGGUGAGUAAUACUUAGGAAUCUACCUAGUAGUGGGGGAUAGCACGGGGAAACUCGUAUUAAUACCGCAUACGACCUACGGGAGAAAGGGGGCAGUUUACUGCUCUCGCUAUUAGAUGAGCCUAAGUCGGAUUAGCUAGAUGGUGGGGUAAAGGCCUACCAUGGCGACGAUCUGUAGCUGGUCUGAGAGGAUGAUCAGCCACACCGGGACUGAGACACGGCCCGGACUCCUACGGGAGGCAGCAGUGGGGAAUAUUGGACAAUGGGGGAAACCCUGAUCCAGCCAUGCCGCGUGUGUGAAGAAGGCCUUUUGGUUGUAAAGCACUUUAAGCAGUGAAGAAGACUCUUCGGUUAAUACCCGGAGACGAUGACAUUAGCUGCAGAAUAAGCACCGGCUAACUCUGUGCCAGCAGCCGCGGUAAUACAGAGGGUGCAAGCGUUAAUCGGAAUUACUGGGCGUAAAGCGAGCGUAGGUGGCUUGAUAAGUCAGAUGUGAAAUCCCCGGGCUUAACCUGGGAACUGCAUCUGAAACUGUUAGGCUAGAGUAGGUGAGAGGGAAGUAGAAUUUCAGGUGUAGCGGUGAAAUGCGUAGAGAUCUGAAGGAAUACCGAUGGCGAAGGCAGCUUCCUGGCAUCAUACUGACACUGAGGCUCGAAAGCGUGGGUAGCAAACAGGAUUAGAUACCCUGGUAGUCCACGCCGUAAACGAUGUCUACUAGUCGUUGGGUCCCUUGAGGACUUAGUGACGCAGCUAACGCAAUAAGUAGACCGCCUGGGGAGUACGGCCGCAAGGUUAAAACUCAAAUGAAUUGACGGGGGCCCGCACAAGCGGUGGAGCAUGUGGUUUAAUUCGAUGCAACGCGAAGAACCUUACCUGGUCUUGACAUAUCUAGAAUCCUGCAGAGAUGCGGGAGUGCCUUCGGGAAUUAGAAUACAGGUGCUGCAUGGCUGUCGUCAGCCCGUGUC
This 1034-nucleotide ribosomal RNA is filed under the name Psychrobacter nivimaris. RNAcentral describes it as "bacterial SSU rRNA". It matches the Rfam family "Bacterial small subunit ribosomal RNA", at positions 36 to 1066 of the family's 1533-position model. Lineage: Bacteria; Pseudomonadati; Pseudomonadota; Gammaproteobacteria; Moraxellales; Moraxellaceae. The record is from RNAcentral.